UACGUAGGGUGCAAGCGUUAAUCGGAAUUACUGGGCGUAAAGCGUGCGCAGGCGGCUUUGCAAGACAGAUGUGAAAUCCCCGGGCUCAACCUGGGAACUGCAUUUGUGACUGCAUGGCUAGAGUACGGUAGAGGGGGGAUGGAAUUCCGCGUGUAGCAGUGAAAUGCGUAGAUAUGCGGAGGAACACCGAUGGCGAAGGCAAUCCCCUGGACCUGUACUGACGCUCAUGCACGAAAGCGUGGGGAGCAAACAGG
This 254-nucleotide ribosomal RNA is filed under the name uncultured bacterium. RNAcentral's name for it is "partial 16S ribosomal RNA". It matches the Rfam family "Bacterial small subunit ribosomal RNA", at positions 524 to 776 of the family's 1533-position model. The record is from RNAcentral.